GGGCCUAUGGCGGAACUGGUAGACGCGUUAGACUUAGGAUCUAAUGAGGAGACUCGUACAGGUUCAAGUCCUGCUAGGCCCACCA
Molecule: transfer RNA, 85 nt
Filed under: Mollicutes bacterium
Lineage: Bacteria; Bacillati; Mycoplasmatota; Mollicutes
Also listed under: 3 other names
Description: tRNA-Leu
Rfam family: tRNA
About the family: Transfer RNA (tRNA) molecules are approximately 80 nucleotides in length. Their secondary structure includes four short double-helical elements and three loops (D, anti-codon, and T loops). Further hydrogen bonds mediate the characteristic L-shaped molecular structure. tRNAs have two regions of fundamental functional importance: the anti-codon, which is responsible for specific mRNA codon recognition, and the 3' end, to which the tRNAs corresponding amino acid is attached (by aminoacyl-tRNA synthetases). tRNAs cope with the degeneracy of the genetic code in two manners: having more than one tRNA (with a specific anti-codon) for a particular amino acid; and 'wobble' base-pairing, i.e. permitting non-standard base-pairing at the 3rd anti-codon position.
Source: RNAcentral